This 301-nucleotide ribosomal RNA is filed under the name uncultured bacterium. RNAcentral's name for it is "partial 16S ribosomal RNA". It matches the Rfam family "Bacterial small subunit ribosomal RNA", at positions 509 to 807 of the family's 1533-position model. The record is from RNAcentral.
CAGCAGCCGCGGGAAUACGUAGGGUGCGAGCGUUAAUCGGAAUUACUGGGCGUAAAGCGUGCGCAGGCGGUUAUGUAAGACAGGUGUGAAAUCCCCGGGCUUAACCUGGGAACUGCGCUUGUGACCGCACAGCUAGAGUAUGGCAGAGGGGGGUGGAAUUCCACGUGUAGCAGUGAAAUGCGUAGAGAUGUGGAGGAACACCGAUGGCGAAGGCAGCCCCCUGGGCCAAUACUGACGCUCAUGCACGAAAGCGUGGGGAGCAAACAGGAUUAGAUACCCCCGUAGUCCCUGUCUCUUAUAC